GGCUACUAUGACAAAAGACAGAAGAGAAUUAACUUAGAAAAAAGGAUGCUUGGUUGAUCCUGUUGCACUGGGCUUGUGGUGACAUGGCAAAUCAUUUUAGGACCCUACAGUGGAGGAAGACUGCUCACCUCAGGACAACUGGAAAAUAAAGCAUUGACCGAAGGAUCCAGGAUCCUCAGGAAAUUAUUUAGGGACAUCAUCUUACCCAAUGUUAUUCUACUUGGUCCUUUCUUGUAAUGGUUUUACUCUCUCCCAAUUACAGUGCACCAGGUUGAUUACCAAGCCUUUGACUUACGUACUUUCAAGGAACAUCCAAGGCCCUGCAGAACUGUAUAUAUUGAAAUGAAGUUUUCUUGUUGUCAAAAAAUAUUCACCAUCGAUACUUGCAGGCGAUGUGUGCACCGAUGAACUCUAUUAAUAAUUACCAGCAAUUGCAACCCCCACUGGAUCAUGGCGAGGGAUGGAGAGGUCUUGCUUGAUGCUCAAGUGCACAGCACCCAAUGCUUAUCCACCUCAGGCGAUAAUGGUUGAGGAACAUGCUGAACCUCUGGUUCAGACAGAUCACUAUUUCCAGAUGAUUAUCCCACACAGUUCAAAUCAAGAAACACCAGAAAUGCCCAAUGGUUCCCCAUCUUAAAAUGACGCUGCAUAAAUGAAAUCCACAGCAAUCCCCAGGGGAGGGAUGCUUUUCCUCACUAUAAAGAACCUGUAUUCCUGGGAAUAAGUCUGUUGACAGAAAAGUUGCUUUAUUUAUUCUCAGAAUCAUGCGACCAAUGUUUAGGUAGGGAUCCACAGAAUCGCCUUCUGUUGCAGUCUCACGGUUCCAUCAGUGUCCUUAUAUGAGAUCCUGUUCAUUCCUGCACCAUCACAUUAUAUUUUUGCCGAGGAUCUUUGCUAGCAGUUUAUUGAGAUUAUUUUCCACAAGAAUCAAUUUUGGCAUUUUCCUCUUCUUCACUUUGUUUUUCACUCUUUCAAAUCAAAUUUCAAUCUUGCACAUUACUUCUCCUUAUGCUGUAUUCAGUGUUGACAGAAAAGAGGGAAAUUUGUGUUCACUGCUGCUCCAAAUCAAUAUAGAGACACAAGGGAAAAUCAACAAGCAAGAAUCUUAGAGACAUUUCACAGAGGAUUUACAAAUGGAUAUUCUGCAUAUGAGAAAGCCUGCAAAAAAAAGCCCAAUCAAGAUAGGAAUCAAGAAUAUGAAGUAACUAUAAAUAUUGAUGGCAGAGAUAUGACUUUGCAUGGCUCAGAAAACUUUAUGCAUCUAUUAAAAUCAAACAUGCAUAUUUAACA
Molecule: small RNA, 1290 nt
Filed under: Rattus norvegicus (Norway rat)
Lineage: Eukaryota; Metazoa; Chordata; Mammalia; Rodentia; Muridae
Description: uncharacterized LOC102555864
Source: RNAcentral